This 377-nucleotide ribosomal RNA is filed under the name uncultured bacterium. Its description in RNAcentral is "bacterial SSU rRNA". It matches the Rfam family "Bacterial small subunit ribosomal RNA", at positions 521 to 896 of the family's 1533-position model. The record is from RNAcentral.
UAAUACAGAGGGUGCGAGCGUUGUCCGGAAUCACUGGGCGUAAAGGGCGCGUAGGUGGCCGGGUAAGCGUGCGGUGAAAGCCUGGGGCUCAACUCCAGGUCGGCCGUGCGUACUGCCUAGCUUGAGCACGGUAGAGGCCGAUGGAAUUCCGGGUGUAGCGGUGGAAUGCGUAGAGAUCCGGAAGAACACCGGUGGCGAAGGCGGUCGGCUGGGCCGUUGCUGACACUGAUGCGCGACAGCGUGGGGAGCAAACAGGAUUAGAUACCCUGGUAGUCCACGCCGUAAACGAUGGGCACUAGGUCCUUGGGGGAGCGACCCCGUGAGGGCCGGCGCUAACGCAUGAAGUGCCCCGCCUGGGGAGUACGGCCGCAAGGCUG